GCGGCGAAGGCGGCGGCUGUCAGAGCUGGAGGGCCGGGCACCGCGGCCAUGGAGGGUCAACGCUGGCUGCCGCUGGAGGCCAAUCCCGAGGUCACCAACCAGUUUCUUAAACAAUUAGGUCUACAUCCUAACUGGCAAUUCGUUGAUGUAUAUGGAAUGGAUCCUGAACUCCUUAGCAUGGUACCAAGACCAGUCUGUGCAGUCUUACUUCUCUUUCCUAUUACAGAAAAGUAUGAAGUAUUCAGAACAGAAGAGGAAGAAAAAAUAAAAUCUCAGGGACAAGAUGUUACAUCAUCAGUAUAUUUCAUGAAGCAAACAAUCAGCAAUGCCUGUGGAACAAUUGGACUGAUUCAUGCUAUUGCAAACAAUAAAGACAAGAUGCACUUUGAAUCUGGAUCAACCUUGAAAAAAUUCCUGGAGGAAUCUGUGUCAAUGAGCCCUGAAGAACGAGCCAGAUACCUGGAGAACUAUGAUGCCAUCCGAGUUACUCAUGAGACCAGUGCCCAUGAAGGUCAGACUGAGGCACCAAGUAUAGAUGAGAAAGUAGAUCUUCAUUUUAUUGCAUUAGUUCAUGUAGAUGGGCAUCUCUAUGAAUUAGAGAACAGAGCUCGGAGCUCUGGAAAUUUGGAGGCAACUGAUAUGUGCUCAUGUCUGCAUCUGUGUGGGUUGGCUGUAUCUCAGGGACAGAGUCUGCAGCAAAAAAGGCAGUAACAGAGAAGAAUUUUGAAACAAAAGAUUUUCGAGCCUCUCUAGAAAAUGGUGUUCUGCUGUGUGAUUUGAUUAAUAAGCUUAAACCUGGCGUCAUUAAGAAGAUCAAUAGACUGUCUACACCAAUAGCAGGAUUGGAUAAUAUAAACGUUUUCUUGAAAGCUUGUGAACAGAUUGGAUUGAAAGAAGCCCAGCUUUUCCAUCCUGGAGAUCUACAGGAUUUAUCAAAUCGAGUCACUGUCAAGCAAGAAGAGACUGACAGGAGAGUGAAAAAUGUUUUGAUAACAUUGUACUGGCUGGGAAGAAAAGCACAAAGCAACCCGUACUAUAAUGGUCCCCAUCUUAAUUUGAAAGCGUUUGAGAAUCUUUUAGGACAAGCACUGACGAAGGCACUCGAAGACUCCAGCUUCCUGAAAAGAAGUGGCAGGGACAGUGGCUACGGUGACAUCUGGUGUCCUGAACGUGGAGAAUUUCUUGCUCCUCCAAGGCACCAUAAGAGAGAAGAUUCCUUUGAAAGCUUGGACUCUUUGGGCUCGAGGUCAUUGACAAGCUGCUCCUCUGAUAUCACGUUGAGAGGGGGGCGUGAAGGUUUUGAAAGUGACACAGAUUCGGAAUUUACAUUUAAGAUGCAGGAUUAUAAUAAAGAUGAUAUGUCGUAUCGAAGGAUUUCGGCUGUUGAGCCAAAGACUGCGUUACCCUUCAAUCGUUUUUUACCCAACAAAAGUAGACAGCCAUCCUAUGUACCAGCACCUCUGAGAAAGAAAAAGCCAGACAAACAUGAGGAUAACAGAAGAAGUUGGGCAAGCCCGGUUUAUACAGAAGCAGAUGGAACAUUUUCAAGGUACUGAGAUGGGUGUGAUUAUUGAGUUUCGUAUGCUUUUCGAAUAUGGUAGGAUGUUAAAUGUGGUAAAAAGAAUGGCUCUUAAAUGUGUUUCAUAGAUCAUAUAUUAAGCUUGACUAGUGAGAAUAUUUUUCAUCCCUCUAUUUUUAGUUAUACAUAUCUUGAAGCCAUUUCUUCUGUUUUAGAAUGUCAGCAUAUGAUUUGCUAGGUCUUUUUUUAGAUGCAUGACUUCAGUUUAUUGGUAUUUUUCAGCUUACCAGAUAAUUUGUAUUGUUCAUGAUGAGCCAUGCCAUGUAAUGUUUUUCCUUUUUUGAUUGAUCUUAGUGGACAUGAAAAGAAUCCUUUAAUUUCUCAGCAAAUUAGCAGAACAGAGUGUGGUUUUGCAAAUCCAGCUUCCUCUCAUGGGGAGGCGUACGGUUUUGAAAGUGGUUCGGACUCUGAGGAUGAACGAAGGUUUCCUGACAUAGUUUUGGAUGACUUAGCCAACCGUAGAUUCCAAGUGAAAAAGAGGCCCCAGAAUUUCAUCUCGAAAAUCACCUAUCCUAAUUCUUGUCCGCAAAUAUUUUCUCCUGCUGAUAUGUUUGCCAUGGGGCUAUAUGGACUGACGAGGUCAGAAAUACUUGUCCUGGAUCUGGCUGUCUAUUAUGCUGCUGAUUUUAAUUCAGAAAGUAACACCCCAAAUUGUUUGUUAUGUGCCUCUUCCUUUUAACACAGCUUCUAAUGAAGUAUCUUUGGCCCGUGUGUAUCUAGCUAUCCUUGAGUUAAAAUGAGAUGCUGUUAUAAUAACUUUGUCCUAGGAGCUGUGGUGGUGAUGAGAAUGGAAACUAAUUUGCUUUGUUCACAGUGGUGUAAACUUUGUGAACCAGAAAGCAUGCCAUUUGUGUUCUGUGUCACAAAUGCUCAUACAGUGUCUUAACCGGUUGGAUGUUUUGAACAGUAAUCAGAGGAGGAUUUGGGGCACCAAUGUGGAGAACUGGCCAACUGUACAAGGAACUUCAAAGUCCUCUUGUUAUUUGGAAGAGGAAAAAGCAAAGACAAGAAGCAUACCCAACAUUGUAAAGGAUGAUCUUUAUGUGCGCAAGCUCAGUCCAGUCAUGCCAAACCCAGGGAAUGCUUUUGAUCAGUUUCUUCCCAAAUGUUGGACCCCAGAAGAUGUGAACUGGAAAAGAAUAAAAAGGGAAACUUAUAAGCCAUGGUAUAAAGAAUUUCAGGGAUUCAGGUUUGUCGUUGUGCAUGUUUCUGUCACACCAGUGUUCAUUCAGUACCCCAGCUGGGGUUCUAUGUGCAUGUUUUUUAUAAUAAUAAGAGAGACAGAGAAAGUCUAAUUAGUUCUCUAGUAUCUGCGGAACCUAUAUAAUGGAAAUGAAUUUCUGUUUAAAUUUAAACCUGAGGAUCUAGAUCUUAAAAAGCCCUGUUCUAUACAUAGUCAUAGCACGGCAUUAUUUUUAGUAGUUCUGUUUUUCUCCAAUUCUUUGUCUCAUUCCCUCUUCCCUUCUUUUCUUCAUGUCACUCACAGUAGAAGGAAUUCAGACUCUGAGGAUGAGGACUCAGGUUCUGACAGAAGCGCCACCGUUUUUAGUAGAGCACAAAAAGCAGAGCAUAGGCUAGACGGCAACUGCCAAAGACCUUCACUCUUGCUGGAAUUAGCUACCAAACGGGCUGUAAAAUCACCGGACUCCCAUGCAGCCAGGAGAAGCAGUAGUGCUUCGGAUGAGCCCAGGUGCCCCUGUCUGCAUGAGCCUGCCUGCUGCGGGUCUGGCCUCAGACAACCCUCUGCCUGCUUCUGCUGCUCCAUUAGCCUGGGACCUGAUUGCACUGAAUCAGGAAACCUGACUCACUUAGUGGACUUAGUACAAAAGCGUAAUGUAUAACACGCUGCUUUCUGUGCAACUACAUCAGCUUGGAAGUCUGUAGGAUUCAACAUUCUUCUUUAGCACAAUAAUGUGUGAGACAGGAUAUAUUUACAUGUGGCAGUUCUUUUGAAAAGCCGGUUCAAAAAGGCUUGUUAGAAAGUUUACCUAAUUUCACGGUUUUGUUGUGUGUGGAGAUGUGGAAAAAGGAAAUAACUUUCAGGUGGAGACUGGGAAGGGCAAGUCUAGGGAAAAUGCAAAGGGAAGAUUCCUUGAGCUCUUUUAUAAAACUUCAGAGCAAUUUAUUUUCCCUUUUUCCUGCUGAUUACAUAUACCUAUUGCAUAAAGUGCAUGAUGCACAACUUGUGAAACUUUCAAAGAUUAUUCCUUCUUCUUCAGGGGACACUUAGGCCACUGUGGCAAAUGGAAUGAGAAAGGGAUACCAGGGGCCAGGCGGGGUGGCUCACGCCUGUAAUCCCAGCACUUUGGGAGGCCAGGGCAGGUGGAUCACUUGAGGUCAGGAGUUUGAGACCAGCUUGGCUAAAAUGGUGAAACCUUAUCUCUACUAAAUAUACAAAAAUUAGCCAGGCAUGAUAGGGGGCCCCUGUAAUCCCAGCUACUCGGAAGGCUGAGGGAGAUGAAUUGCUUGAACCCAGGAGGCGGAGGUUGCAGUGAGCAGAGAUGGCGCCACUGCACUCAGCCUGGGCGACAGAGUGAGACUCUGUCUCA
Long non-coding RNA from Homo sapiens (human), 4128 nucleotides. The record is from Ensembl. Lineage: Eukaryota; Metazoa; Chordata; Mammalia; Primates; Hominidae.